AGGACGAACGCUGGCGGCGUGCCUAACACAUGCAAGUCGAACGGGGGUAGCAAUACCCCAGUGGCGAACGGGUGCGUAACACGUGAAGAACUUGUCCAUCGGCGGGGGAUAGCCGGCCCAACGGCCGGGUAAUACCGCGUACGCCGUCUGAAGCGCAUGCUUCGGCCGGGAAAGCAGCAAUGCACCGAUGGAGAGCUUCGCGGCCUAUCAGCUAGUUGGCGGGGUAAUGGCCCACCAAGGCGACGACGGGUAGCUGGUCUGAGAGGAUGACCAGCCACAUUGGGACUGAGACACGGCCCAGACUCCUACGGGAGGCAGCAGUGGGGAAUAUUGCGCAAUGGGGGAAACCCUGACGCAGCGACGCCGCGUGUGGGAUGACGGCCUUCGGGUUGUAACCACUGUCGCGAGGGACGAAAAAUGACGGUACCUCGAAGGAAGCACCGGCUAACUCUGCGCCAGCAGCCGC
Molecule: ribosomal RNA, 466 nt
Filed under: uncultured bacterium
Lineage: Bacteria
Description: SSU rRNA
Rfam family: Bacterial small subunit ribosomal RNA
Source: RNAcentral